CAGAGUUCUCGCCCUCGCGGGUAGAUCUCCCACCCACUGUUAUUGCUACCGUGUUGCUUUGGCGGGCUGCUGGGCCUAGCCCGGCCGCCGGCUCCGGCCGGCGCGCGCCCGCCAGAGGACCCAAAACCCUGAUUAUUAGUGUCGUCUGAGUACUAUAUAAUAGUUA
RNAcentral lists this unclassified non-coding RNA (166 nucleotides) under uncultured Tricholoma. RNAcentral describes it as "sequence contains ITS1". Lineage: Eukaryota; Fungi; Basidiomycota; Agaricomycetes; Agaricales; Tricholomataceae. The record is from RNAcentral.